UACGAAGGGGUCUAGCGUUGCUCGGAAUCACUGGGCGUAAAGGGUGCGUAGGCGGGUCUUUAAGUCAGGGGGGAAAUCCUGGAGCUCAACUCCAGAACUGCCUUUGAUACUGAAGAUCUUGAGUUCGGGAGAGGUGAGUGGAACUGCGAGUGUAGAGGUGAAAUUCGUAGAUAUUCGCAAGAACACCAGUGGCGAAGGCGGCUCACUGGCCCGAUACUGACGCUGAGGCACGAAAGCGUGGGGAGCAAACAGG
Molecule: ribosomal RNA, 253 nt
Filed under: uncultured bacterium
Lineage: Bacteria
Description: partial 16S ribosomal RNA
Rfam family: Bacterial small subunit ribosomal RNA
Source: RNAcentral